UCAAUUUCGAUUAUCCAGGCAAGAGUUAUGAGAACUGCUACAAAUUGAUCUCAUUCUUGUGGAUUCAACAAUUUAUUGCUCCACAUCUGAAUCCCCCAUUUUCAUUUCCAUUAAAACUACACAAUAACAACUACUUCCUUAUUCACCCAACGACACCGACACAAAAUCUCAAUUCAAGAAAGUCAAUUUGCAGAAAGAUGCUGACAAAAAGAGGUAACAAUAAUGGGUUUGUAUUGACUUGAGGCAAAACAAGGUGCACACGAAGUGUUCUAAAUUGAAUGGGAAUGACUGCAUAUGGGAAGAGAAAUAGUGCUUGAUACCUUCCUCCAUCGACCCUAGUUUUUCACCUAAACUUCAAAUUGAAUUUACAACAAUAAUUAUAUUAACAAACAAAUUGAAGAUCCAAAAUAUUAGGUAGAGAUCUAAUUAAAGUUUGUGAGAUAUUGUUACCUACCAAUUGGAUGGGGUCAUUGCAGGAUUAAUUUGUGAGAUAAUACUUGAUGAUGAAUGACUUGCGUUCUGAUGGAAUUUUCAGAUUUUGUAGUUUAGCCACGGUUAAACUCUUUCAGAAUUGAUUUUAGAGUUUUCCGGUUCCUAAAUCAUAUUGGCUUGUAACAUUCCAAAAACAUUUAGUGUUCC
This 639-nucleotide long non-coding RNA is filed under the name Trifolium pratense (red clover). RNAcentral describes it as "long non-coding RNA (TPRA_LNC007833)". The record is from RNAcentral. Lineage: Eukaryota; Viridiplantae; Streptophyta; Magnoliopsida; Fabales; Fabaceae.